This 894-nucleotide unclassified non-coding RNA is filed under the name Hevea brasiliensis (rubber tree). The record is from RNAcentral. Lineage: Eukaryota; Viridiplantae; Streptophyta; Magnoliopsida; Malpighiales; Euphorbiaceae.
AGUGAGUUCACUAUUGCUUUGAUGUAACCCGGGAUACUCAUCAACCCGACCUGUUUGAUUCAAAAAAUCCGUACUCAUCUGUUCCAUCUUCAUCUCACCGGAUGUCGGCAGUGUUUCUACCAUCUUCGUCUCUGUAUUCCAUUGCUCGUUUGAGUUUUGGUUCUCCGGCAAUCGGUAAGCCGGGAUAUCAACCAUGUUGAAUGGAUCAUUUGAUGACGUCAUCAUGUUUGUGAAGUUUCCGAUGUCCUGAAACUGAUCUUCGACUGAGUUCUCCAUUAAUGGCUGAUCAUCGAAGGUUUGGUUAGUACUGUGAGGUAUGAAGAAAUUGGAAUCUGGAAAGUUGAGAUAAGUGGAAGCAGAGUUGGAAGAAGUUGCCGACACAUCUUCUGUAGUUGCGGCGCCGGGGGUAUUCGCCGUUGCUGCCGCUGCCGCUGUUGUUGUAGCAGUAAGACUGGAACUCUCACUACUAGAAUUAGUAUCAGACUUAGGUUCCUCCGGUGUGUCGUCGGCAGUAGUCGAUUUCGGCUUUGAACGCUUGCUUUUCCGGCAACCACCACCGACGGGGACGUUACGGAGUACGCCGCCUUUAGUCCAGUACCUCCGGCAACUCUUGCAGAAGUGACGUGGCUGAGAGAGAUUAUAGUUGUUAUAGUAACAGAAUUUAGUGUUGAGCGAAUCGCAACGAGGACACUUUAAUGCUUGGUGAUUUUGGUGGUUAUUAGGCCUUAGUCUCCGAUCACCAGCACCGCCCAAAAACCGCCCUCCUCCACCUCCAAUCGGAUGUAUAUCUUGCAUAUCUCAAUUUUACCUAAACACCGGAAAAAAUGGCUGUAAAAAUCUUAGAUCAUAAUUUCCCGGCGAGAUUUCACAUUUGCCGACAUCUGAAUCUGCAAC